GCGAAAAUUGACUCAUAAAUAAUCUUGCUUAUAAAAUAAAAAAAUGAACAAAAAAAGUAAUAUUGGCACAUAUUUUAAUCUUCAAAAUUGAACUUAGAAAAUCCACCUUGAACCUAAAAAUUAUAGUGUAAACUCUAAACUGAAUUGCCCUGCACAUAAUCAAAUAAUUGGUAGGGAACUUAAUUAUUAUAAAGGCAUUUAAUUAAGCAUAUUUUAUGAUAAUGUGUUGUAACCUAAUUGUUACACCACUUUCCAAACCCUUACAAGAAAAUACAUACCCAAAUGUAUUUGCUUGAUUACAUGAAAUGACAUAAUUAGAAUUAAAACUGCCGUUGAGAAAAUUAUUUUUUUAAA
RNAcentral lists this unclassified non-coding RNA (354 nucleotides) under Hevea brasiliensis (rubber tree). Lineage: Eukaryota; Viridiplantae; Streptophyta; Magnoliopsida; Malpighiales; Euphorbiaceae. The record is from RNAcentral.